UUGGGAAAAUUCGGCCAAAUCCAAAGGGUGGAUUUUUGGGUUCUUGUUUGACUUGUUAAAAGUGUUUUAAAGUGACUUUUGGAACCCCUAAGUGCCCUAGGAUGUUAGCCCCAUUUUGAGUGAUGAAAAUUUGAGUUAUUGAGUGAAAAUGUUCAUGGAGCUCUUAUGGGUUUUCAUGGAUGUUCUUCAUUGUUCUUGAUGUUCUUGCCAAGAACAUAAAGUUUGGUGUUUUGAUUCAAAGUUUUGGUUAAUUUCAUAAAGUCUUUGUUUUGUGCUUUAUCAAAUGUUUAAUGUGAUUGAAAUUGUGUAAGGUGAUAGAAAUGUUGAUGGAUGUGUAAGAAGUACUUCUCUUACACACACACCAACUUAUUUCCACUUGCAUGGUUCCACUUGCAAGGCUUUAUGAUUUUGUUGAAAAAAUUUCCAAAUUGUUGUGGACUUAUCUUUUCUCUAUUUUCUCCCUAAAACCGGCCACCCUAUUAAAAUAGGGUAUUUUUGGGGCUUUUAUGCAAUUACAUAAAGUUUGAUACUUUUGUGUAUUUGUAUUUUGACCCGAAAGUUUACGUUUUGACGUUAAGGCCUAAAAACGCUAAAGGACAAAUUGUUUUGCUCCUUUAAUGAAGUUUUUAUAUUUAUUGAAAUUUUUGGGUUCUAGUUGUAAUUACAUGAAGUUGUGGACUUUUGUGUUUUUACAAAGUGACCCCAAAAGUUUGUGUUUUUGCAAUAUGGCCCAAAAGUUGAGGUUAUUGCAUUUUGGCCCAAAUUACGUUGAGAACAAAAUUGUUUUGUCUCUUUAAAUGAGAAUUGGAUUUUCAUUUCAUUUAGCUCCAUUUAAAUCAAUUUUAUGGAUACAAAAACCAAAUGAAAAUGUUGCAUUCAAUUUAAUUAGUUAAAGCGUUAAUUAAUUAAAGGGUGAUUAUGAACCUAAGCCUACGAUAAUUGAGCUAUAUAAAAGGCCGUUUCAAAUUUGUUUGAACCAUGGGAAUGUGUAGAUUAGAUUUUGGUUGUAAUUUGAUUUGAUCAAAUGUUGUAAAAGAGCUUAAGCUCUUCUUUACUUUAAAGUAAUUUGAAUCAUUCAAAUGUUGUAAAGAGCAUAAGCUCAUCUUUACUUUGAAAUACUUCUUUCUUGCUUUAUUUGAUAUGCAUGAAAUUGAAGUAGUUGGGUCCAACGCCCCUAAGACUACACGCCUUAAUGUGAUUAAACGCGUAACUAAAAUCAAUCACCAUCCCUAGACCGAGAUUCAACACUAGGCUCGUGUUGAAUCUAAUCAAAGGUUCAUAGUCAUCCUAAGGCCCUAAGGCAACUAUAUA
RNAcentral lists this long non-coding RNA (1311 nucleotides) under Malus domestica (apple). Its description in RNAcentral is "long non-coding RNA (MDOM_LNC019555)". The record is from RNAcentral. Lineage: Eukaryota; Viridiplantae; Streptophyta; Magnoliopsida; Rosales; Rosaceae.